Molecule: ribosomal RNA, 700 nt
Filed under: uncultured bacterium
Lineage: Bacteria
Description: bacterial SSU rRNA
Rfam family: Bacterial small subunit ribosomal RNA
Source: RNAcentral
GCUGGCGGUAUGCUUAACACAUGCAAGUCGAACGAGAAGGAAGAGCUUGCUCUUCCUGAAAGUGGCGAACGGGUGAGUAACGCGUGGGUAACCUACCCUUUGGGAAGGAAUAGCCUCGGGAAACUGGGAGUAAUGCCUUAUAAGAUACGUUUGUCGCAUGGCAUUUGUAUUAAACGCUCCGGCGCCAUAGGAUGGACCCGCGUCCCAUUAGCUAGUUGGUGAGAUAACAGCUCACCAAGGCCACGAUGGGUAACCGGUCUGAGAGGGCGAACGGUCACACUGGAACUGAGACACGGUCCAGACUCCUACGGGAGGCAGCAGUGGGGAAUAUUGCGCAAUGGGGGCAACCCUGACGCAGCAAUACCGCGUGAGUGAAGAAGGUUUUCGGAUCGUAAAGCUCUGUUAUUGGGGAAGAAAAAAAGACGGUACCCAAGAAGAAAGUUCCGGCUAACUACGUGCCAGCAGCCGCGGUAAUACGUAGGGAACAAGCGUUGUCCGGAUUUACUGGGCGUAAAGGGCACGCAGGCGGUUUUUUAAGUCAGAUGUGAAAGGCCACAGCUCAACUGUGGACAUGCAUUUGAAACUGAAAGACUUGAGUAUUGGAGAGGCAAGUGGAAUUCCUAGUGUAGCGGUGAAAUGCGUAGAUAUUAGGAGGAACACCGGUGGCGAAGGCGGCUUGCUGGACAAAUACUGACGCUGA